This 5735-nucleotide long non-coding RNA is filed under the name Gossypium raimondii (Peruvian cotton). RNAcentral's name for it is "long non-coding RNA (GRAI_LNC005813)". The record is from RNAcentral. Lineage: Eukaryota; Viridiplantae; Streptophyta; Magnoliopsida; Malvales; Malvaceae.
ACAGAGCUUGCUGGGCUGAAGAUUAAUGAGGAAGAAGAAGAAAUCUUAUAGUUUCAAUUUGAGCCAAGAACAGAAACAGAGGUAGAGACUUUUAAAUUAGUGGGAUGUUUUUUAACUGCUAGCACUAUUCACUUUCCAGCGAUGAAGAGCACAAUGGCCAAUCUAUGGCAUCAGUUCGGGGGGUGCAAAUUCAAGAUCUAGGAGGGAAAAGAUAUCUAUUUCAGUUUUUCCAUGUUAUGGACAUAAAGUGGGUGUUUAAAGGGUCCCCGUGGACAUUCAAUAAUCAUCUACUACUUCUACAUAAGUUGCAACUGACGGAGGAUCCAUUAAUUGUUCCUUUGAUCUAUACCCCUUUUUGGGUACAAAUUCAUGAUUAGAGGUGCUCAUGGGCCGGGCGGCCCGGCCCGGCCCGACUGCCCGCCCGAAAUAUGGGAGGGUUUGGGUAAAAAUAUAGGCCCGAAAUAUGGGAUUGGGCAAAAAAACGAGGCUUGUUUAGAAAACGGGUCGGGCCUCGGGCACCACUUUUUGGCCCGGGCCCGGCCUGAUAUAAUAAAUAUAUUUAUUUUUUAAUUUUUUUUAAUUUUAAAAUAUUUUUAAAAUAUUUUUUUAUUAUUUUUUAAUUUUAAAAUAUUUUUAAAAUGUUUUUAAAAUACUUUUUUUAAUUUUUAAAAUAAAUUUUUGGUAUUUAUUAAAAAAAUGGGCCGGGCCCGGGCUUAUGAUUUUUUCCCCGGGCCAGUCCUGGGCAAAAUUUUAGGCCCAUAUUUCGGGCCGGGCUGGGCCCGAGCCUAGGACCCGGCCCGACCCAUGAACACCUCUAUUCAUGAUAUUCCUGCAGGUUUUUUUUCAAAAAGACUGGCAAUUCAAUUGGGAAACUUUAUAGGCACUCAUAUGGAGUAUGAUGGAUCAAAUCUGGGGAAAGAAAACCGAAAUUUUAUGAGAAUCAGAGUUCAAAUUGAUGUAAGAUACCCUCUGAAAAGGAAGAAACAGAUCUUAUUUUUUGGCAAAUGUUCAUAUGUCAGAUUUAGAUACGAACGACUAUCUCUUUUUUGCUUCUAUUGUGGGUGAUUGGGACAUAGCGACUCAUUUUGUGAAACGAAUAUGGCAUUAGGAGUGGAAGUUGGGGAGAUGGGAUGGGAUCUAUCUUUAAGAGCUCAAUCUCGAAGAGCUCUAGCAAUGAAUAGCGUUUGGUUGCGAGAAGAGGAAGAAGAUUUGGGUGGAAAUAAAGAAGAGAUUCAAGUAUUAGGAUCUAGUACAAGAGAUUUAAGGAGAAGCUUGGGACAAAACAGAAAUAUAGAUCCAAUAUUAGGAUUUAAUCUGGAAAGACAAUCAUCGAUCUUCAAAAAGGGUAAAACUUCGUAUACUUUCAUGGAUCAUGAUUUAGAGGAUAGGGUGUUUUCUAUGGAGGAAGGGAAGAAGAGAGCAAGGGGGAGAUUGAAGACGUUCUUGCCAAGGAAGAGAAUAGCACUUUGGAGUUAAGGAACCGAAGAGUUGGAGAUGCUAAUAUUGUUAUAUCGGCGGCUGCCAAGAGGCAAGCCGACCGGUCACAAUGAAAAUCUUAAGCUGAAAUGUCCGAGGUUUGGGGAGCCCACGGACAGUGCAUAGACUUCAGCAUUGGCUGAGGUUAUACAGUCCCCAUAUAGUAUUCUUUAUGGAGACAAAGAUUGACAGAAGGAGAAUGGAGCGAAUUCGAAGAAGGUGUGCUUUCCUCAAUGGAAUUGAAGUGGACGCAACAGGAUCUUGAGGUAAAUUAUGCAUGGCUUGGCGUGGGGAUAUCAGUAUCAGACUUCAAAGCUAUUCCAAAAGUCAUAUUGAUGUGCUAAUUGAGGACGUAGAGGGGGAAAAGAAUUGGAGAUUUACAGGAUUUUAUGGUUCUCCUUAUUCGAAUAAAGAAGAAUCAUGGAACUUACUGAGACAAUUGAGUAAUGUAAGGGAGUUGCCUUGGAUGGUUUGUGGUGACUUUAAUGAAAUUUUAUAUGGCUUUGAAAAAAAGGGGGGUUUACCUCGAGAGGAAGGGAGAAUGGAAGCUUUUAGAACGGUUUUAGAGGAUUGCAAUCUUAGGGACAUGGGUCACUUAGGAAAGAGGAAAUCUGCCAGAAACAAAUAUUCGAGAACGAUUAGAUAGGGGAGUGGCUACGGAAGAAUGGAUUUCUUUGUUCCCGGAAUUUCAAAUUAGACAUAUGUCUCACUCUUUUUCAGAUCAUUGUCCGUUGCUCAUUACUACCAAGCAAGAGGAUAAGAAAAAAAUUGAUAGAGGUUUUAGAGUGCUGGAGGACAGUUUCUUUUCUUAAGUUCAAAGUAUUUUUAGGGAACGACCAAAGGUGAUGUGCUAAGCAAGAUGGAAAGUUUGAAGAGAGGUCUUAUAGAAUGGGUUGAUAAGAUACAAAAUAGCAGGAAAGGGAAGAAAAUGAUGUUAAUCUCAAAACUGGGUAGUUUGGAGGAGAAUGAAAGAAAUGAUGAAAAUUUGAUAGAGCUCAUUGACACAAAAAUUCAACUUAAUUUUGAAAUUGAAAAAGAUGAAUACUAUUGGGAACAAAGGGCGCGGGUUAAUUGGCUAAAAUUUGGGGACAAAAAUACAGCGUUCUUUCAUAAACAGGCAACCCAAAAACGUCAAAGAAAUUUUAUCAACAGAAUGGAAUCAGAUGAUGGUAAGGAAACAGAAGAUAUUUCAGAAAUGGAGGAUAUUACCAGGUUGUAUUUCCAAAAGCUGUUCUCGACUGGGAGGAGGGGAAAUUACAACAGAAUUCUGGUAGGAAUUAAGCAAUGUAUCUUCGAUGAGGACAAUCUGAAAUUGAAGGCAAAGUACACAAAAGAAGAGAUCCGUGAGGCACUUUCAGAAUUAGGCUCAACAAAAGCACCAGAAGAGGAUGGAUUCCCAGCAAUAUUCUACCAAAAAUGCUGGUCUAUUAUCGGAGAGGAAGUUUCAUCGUUCUGCCUUAAUCUACUGAAUGGAGGUAUGGAUGUCAGCUCAAUAAACAAAACGAAUAUAAUUUUAAUUCCUAAAAUUCCUAAUCCUGUGAAUAUCAUCAAUUUUAGACCAAUCAGUUUAUGUAAUGUGCUUUAUAAAUUGUUGGCCAAAGUUAUUGCAAACCGUCACCAUCUCGUGAUGAAUAGAUGUAUUGAUUUAGCUCAAAGUGCUUUUGUUCCUGAGAGACUAAUUAGCGAUAAAUUUUUAUUAGCCUAUGAAGUUCUUCACUCUUUGAAGAAUAAAAGAAUAGGAAAAAAAGGGCUUAUGGCAGUGAAACUAGACAUGAGUAAGGCAUAUGACAGGGUUGAAUGGUGCUUUGUUGAAAAAAUAAUGAAGAAAUUAGGGUUUGAUUCAGAAUGGGUUAACAAGUUGAUGAAAUGUGUUUCAACAGUAUCAUAUUCAGUGGUUCUCAAUGGCGUCAAUGGAGAAAGUUUUUUCCCGUCUAGAGGCCUUAGACAAGGAGAUCCUUUGAGUCCAUUUUUAUUUCUGUUUUGUGGAGAAGGACUUUCUAGUCUUCUAAGGCAAGCAACGGAAGGAAUUUUAAUUCAAGGAGUGAAAGUUAGUAGAAAUGGUCCGCAGAUUUCACACUUGUUAUUCGCGGAUGAUUGCAUUCUGUUUAGAGAAGCCACAGAGAGAGGAGCUACUGUUUUGAAGAAUAUCUUAAAGGAAUAUGAGCUCAGUUCUAGCCAAUGUGUUAAUUAUAAUAAAUCCACAAUCUUCUUCAGUACAAAUACGCAAGAGGAAGAAAAAAGAGUUAUUGUUCGAAUGCUCAGUGUUCGUAGAUCGAAUAAUCCAGAAAGGUAUUUAGAACUUCCAAAUUUAGUGGGCAGAAGAAAGAAAGUAGCUUUUCAAAGCUUGAAGGACAGAUUAAAACAAAGAAUUGAUAACUGGAGUGUUAAAUACCUCUCUCAAGGUGGAAAAGAUGUUUUUAUUAAGGCAGUAUUACAAUCAAUUCCAACUUAUUCUAUGGCGUGUUUUUUACUUCCUAAGUCUCUUUGUAACGAGUUGGAAGGUAUAAUAGCCAGAUUCUAGUGGGGGAAAAUCGGGGAAAGAAGGGGAUCCAUUGGUGUGCGUGGAAGGAUGUGUGUGUCUUGAAAGAAGCAGGUGGCCUUGAUUUUAGAAAACUUGAUAAAUUUAAUAUCGCAUUAUUAGCUAAACAGGGUUGGAGUCUUUUUAAUUUUCCAGAUUCUUUGUUAGCCCGAGUAUUGAAAGCUAAAUAGUAUCCGAAUGCGUGUUUUCUAACGGCUCAAUUAGGAAAUUUACCUUCGCUCACCUGGAAGAGUAUUUGGUUGGCAAAAGGUAUUCUUGAAAAAGGUCUCUGCUGGAGGGUUGGCAAAGGGGAUCGUAUUUCUGUUUGGGAGGACCUCUGGAUUUCGGGCAAUGAAGACGACAGAUUGCAAAAUCAUCAGAGAGAUGGAAAUAUUAAGUUAGUUUCGGGUUUGAUUGAUGUAGAUAGAAGAGAGUGGAAAGCUGAUAUAAUUUCUUUUACCUUCAAUGCAGAAGUUGUUAAAAAGAUCUUGCAAAUUCCAUUGGCAGCGACAGCAAAUGAAGAUUUCCAAGUCUGGAGAGGAGAACCCUCUGGCAAUUUUUUGGUUCGGAGCGCCUACAAACUAUUAUAGGAGGGUACUCAAAAUCCUAUUAAUUUACAAACCGAGACUAAAUUUUUUUACAAAAAACUAUGGAAUUUACAAAUUCCCCCGAAAAUCAAAGUUACAAUAUGGGGAAUCUAUUGGAAUUACAUUCCUACUUUUGCAAAUCUGAAGAUCAAACGAACAGUUGUAGAUGCUCGAUGUCCUCGAUGCAAACUGGAAGAGGAGGACUAUAAUCAUAUUUUUCGUGGAUGCUCUAUAACAAAAGAAGUUUGGAGACUUACACAGUUAUCAUGGAUACUUAUUAAUACUCAAGAUACUUUUUGGAAUUGGCUUACAUGGGUUUUUAGUCGCAGGACAAACGAACAGUGCCGACUUUUCUGUUGCGGGCUUUGGAUCAUCUGGACAAGCAAGAACAAAUUUGUUUACGAAAACAGACAAACAACAAGCAGGGAUAUCUCUCAUAAAAUUUCAGAUUUUCUCUCUGAGCUAAGAGGAAUCGAGGAGAAGAAACUUAACUUGGCAGGAAAUGGUGUUCCGCGAACUGUUGGGAGAUGUACGAGAAUCUCAGUUUACUUUGAUGCGGCCUUUGAUCAGCAAAAUGCAAGAUCUGCUUCGGGACUUGUUGUUCGAGGCGAGGGUGGGGAGAUUUUAGUCUCAAAGUCAGUUAUCCAUACCAACAUUGCAACUCCAUUCGCGGCAGAAGCACAUGCAAGGUUACAAGCCUUAGAGUUAGGAAGAUCUAUGGGGCUUAAAGAUUUACAAAUAAUGGGAAAUUCGAAAACGAUUAUCAAAAAGUGUCAAAGUUCAGAACAAGACAGAUCGGUCAUCGGAGCAAUCAUCAAAGAUAUUCAAGAGAUUAAAACCAAUUUUAAUAGUAUAUGUUUUUGUUAUAUUCUGAAACUGAUAAUAUUUUUGCCCAUUUGGUUGCAAUAGAAGCUUUAAAGAAGGGAGAAGAACAUUACCUGGCUGGGGCGAUUCCAAAUACUGUCCGACAAGCAGUGGAGAGGAUGAAUCCAAGAUAUUAAGAUUAAGAGCAAAAAGGUGACUGUUGGAAGGAGUAGCAAACGGAAAAAAAGAUUUGGGGAAAUCUGCUACUAUUAAUGGUUGGGUCGGUGAUGGGAAAUGAAAAGAUAAUGGAGGCCAGCUGUUUCUGAUCAACUGAGAUUUCUAGAAGCAUU